This is a non-coding RNA of Xyrichtys novacula (pearly razorfish), 6227 nucleotides long. Lineage: Eukaryota; Metazoa; Chordata; Actinopteri; Labriformes; Labridae. The record is from the annotation of a GenBank genome assembly.
GGAUUGAACCUUUUGAUUGGACUAUGGGAUCCUUUUCAUUGCAGUGGAAGUUGUGAAAAGAACAAAUGGAUGUACUGCUAUCCCAGUUAGUGUCCUUGUUCAUGAUAGAUACGCUUUUUGCAGAUAGUGGGAUGAAGCAGGCAUUAUCACUUCACUUUAGAGAAAGGAGUCGCCAUCCCCAUCACCUACAUUUCACCAUGCAAGCCUGUUUUGCAGUUUCACAGAUUGACUGUCUGUCCAGUAAACACAUAAGCAGCAAUGUGAACUCCAUUACCAACACUGUGACCAUUUCUAUCUAAUCCAGAGCUAUCUCAUAUUAAAUAACCAUUUGCUCUGCUAUUGAAUCCUCAUUAGGGAAAGACAGAAGAUAGAUCAGCGAAUCUGUGUGUCUACAAUCAGGGACCAGCAAAUAACUCAAUUAAUGCUCAGGAGAAUGUGGAGACAGAUGAGGCCAUAUUAAAGAAAGGGUAAAAGCUGAACAAGUUUGAGAAUUAUUAGAUUAAAGCUAGAAGGCCACAACUCUUACACACAGAGCUGACCAAAGGUCUAAAAGAUCAGGUGGUCCCUUUGGGUGCCUUACCCUGAACAUGGUAAUUAAUGCAAACUAAUGGUGUAAAAUCACAGCAGCAGCAGAAGUUGAGUCUUUGGAGGUGGGACAUGUGAAAGCCACAGUUUCAUGUUAACACGAUAUCUUCAUUAUAACAAGAGUUUAAUGUCAAUGCUCUGUUCAAAAGGAUGGAUGUUCAAUCAUCUGAAGAGCUCUUGUUUCGAUAAAGACUUUCCCUCCGCAACUUUGGAUGUUUUUAAUUCAUCCUGCUACAUGUCAAUCAUGCACACCCUCUUUAGUUGUGUUAUAAAUUAGAAAUAUCAGUGCUCUGGCCCACCCGACUGAGUUUGAUUUACUAAAAGUAUUUUAUACUAACUGAAUAUACUCUAGAUACCAUCAUGCUGAAAUUUUGGCCUGUUUGUAUUCACCCUGAAGGUUUGGGAAGUUUUCAGGAGUUUUGAUCAAGUGUGGAAACGGCUAAAAAAUUAGGCUUACACUGGAGAACUAGGACCGAAAUGAUCUCUCAUUAAACAGGUGUUAGUGCUGAAUCCUAACCUUACAUGGGGCACCAAACGCAUUAAACCUGCUGCGCCAGGUGCAGCCAAGUUGAAGUGUUGUGUAUUCGAUUCCUAGAUAACUAGUCUGUGGUCACAAGGACAAAACUCAGCAUUUCCUCCCUUUUAGUUCAUUCUGCUUAUAAUAACACUGCAUCAACAGCUCUUAAAAACUGUGAAAAUGGAAGCAGGUAUCCUUAAAUGUCAUGACUUUGAAGGCCGACCUGCUCUUAAAUUGAAUGAGAAAGUUUGGUAUUCACAAGAGAAAGUUUCUGAAAACUAGCAAAGCACUUAGAGUGAAGAAAGAAGAGAAGAAAGUUGCUUCAAAUUAAUUCCUCUAAUUAAUCUGCUCCGAGUCGAAGUGCCGAUAAAGACAUGCUGCAUCUCUUUCAGCAGACAACAAGCAUCUUAAAACAUGAUGGCUCAUCACUUCUGUCUUGACUUUCAACCACAGUUUGCGUUCAAGCCUCGUCAGCACACUGGAGGGUAAAACAAAAGCAGCACUUGUCUGUUGAGUCAUUUGAAAAAAGAGAAAAUAGCAGAAUUCCCACCAGGCGAGGCAGUGACAUUUACAGCCACAAUCCCCUCAAUGAUUUAAGCUGAGCUCUGAAUCUCACUUUAAAGCCCCAAACAUGGGUUCAUCCCUUAAAGCAGAUCCCAACAUUUAGAGAAAGACAAAGUAGUGCAAAGUGGAUAAUUGUACCAACAAAGAGGGAGUGGGGGAGCGUGGAGGGGGGGUAGAAAGUGGAAUCCUCCAAUCCUGGCUUUGUUUGCUGUGCGUCAAAAACCUUCUGACCGUCUAAUCUGUUCAGCGCGUGGCCAUUGUCUGGCUAUCAUCUAAAGAGGAUGGCGUAAUUUCCCCCCUUUUUUCACCCUAUACUGCUCAUUUCCAGAGCCACAAAGGAGCUUAGUCUAAGCAGUUAAAGAGGCCGCUCUAAGCCCUAAAGUGUGCCUGAAGCGUCCAUUACACCAUGUCUUUAAAGGAUGUUUGCUCAGAGAAGCGUCUGUCCACCGCCACGCCAAGGGACAGCUGACCCCAAAACACUCCUUUUGUGUUAAGAUGUGUUUAACCCCAUCUGCUGAGGCUGCAGUGUGUGUGUGUGUGUGUGUGUGUUUAAGACUUUAACAUGUGUAACGGUCUGCUGGAGUCUUAUGGGCUUAGAGCAACAAUGGGUUGGAUUUUUGGGGGGUUUUGUGAACUAAGCAGUUUGCACAUGACAGUUUUAUGUCUCAGUGAUUGCACUCAAAGGAUCCUGCCGUUUAAUUUCUGCAUCAAAAACUGCUAUAAGUGAUCUUUGAUCAUAAAACUCCAAAGUCAGACUACAACAUUUGAAUUUGUCAUCUCCGGAGUUUGCUUGUUUGCAUGAAUUAAACCCCACAAUGUGCAUGAGCUUAUCCUACAGCUGCACUUCUGCAGACACUGUGGUCGCUGCUGCUGCAGCUGUAAGACGAUGUAGAAACAACAGAAACAGCUGCAUAUUUCCAUUACUUUGGGACACUGUUAUCUCAUCCAAAACAAGGAUAGAUAAAUACGUAGUUUAACCUGAGGGGAAUUACAGAUAGACAGUAGUUUACACAUAAAAAAUAAAAAAAUAACUAGGGCCCCGGUGGGGCACUGUCGGGCCCGAGCCGCGUCGCGCCGCCCCCAGCGCGACCACCUCCCCCUCCCGAUCACGUCACACUCAAGGUCCAAAGAUGGUGUGCGCACUUGUCCGUGGUCAUUUCCCAUUAUAAUGAAUGGGAGGCGCAGUUUCUACCAAAACACUCGCUGCAGACAAACUACAUGUCCUAUUUGAAAAAAGUCUGGACCAUGAGUGAGGGCACAAACACAGCUAGGAUAUAUCCAAACGGCAAGUUGCUCCUCGUUACGGUGUUGCCGGGAGAGCGAUGCGAUUGAGCCAUUGAGUGAUGGGCAGGAAAAACUUGACUGUUUCUCCUGCCAUGGGGGAUGGGGGAUGGGGGAUGGGGGGGGGGGUGUGGAUUCUUUUAAGAAUGUGGAUAUUUGGGUCAUAUUUAUAUAUAUGGGGUGCAGUGUCAUGAUUUUUACAACUUUGAAUGGCCAUGGGGUGUAGAUUGGCCUGAGCAAAUUUGGUGUCAGUGGGACAAAAACCUUAGGAGGAGUUAGCCACAUUCCAAUGUGUGCGAAUCAGCAAAAAAUGCAAAAUAGCCCUUUAACCGUACAUUUUACAGAUACGCGCGUAUUGACUUUUUCGUAGAUGUUAUUGAGACACACGUGAUUGUCAAAUUUUGUGUCAAUAUGACAAAGCGUACAGGCGUGACACUCUACAAUGUGUAUUUUCACCUUAGGGGACAAGAAAAAAUGGACUUUUUUCUCCUGCCAUGGGGGGGCGCUCUUUUGGGGAGUAAAAAUUCCUUCACAAAUGUGUUGAUGGCUGGACAUUGCAUCAUCCUAGAGAACUUGGAGGCCAGUGAGGACAAAAAUAAAAAGUUAUAAGACUUUUAAAUAUGUGGAUUUUAGGGUUAUAUUUGGCGCCCCCUAGAACCUAAACCAUGGGGUGCAGCAUCAUAAUUUGAAUAACUUUUAAUGGCCAUGGGGUGUAGAUUGGCCUGAGCAAAUGUGGUGCCGGUGGAACGAAAGCCUUCGGAGGACUUAGCGAAAUUCCAAUGUGUGUGGAUCGGCAAAAAAUGCGAAAUAACCCUUUAACCGUACAUUUGACAGAUACGCGCGCAUUGACUUUUUUGUAGAUCUUAUUGAAAUACACGUGUAUGUCAAAUUUUGUGUCAUUUUGACAAAGCGUACAGGCGUGACAGUCAACAAUGUGUAUUUUCACCUUAGGGGACAAGAAAAAAUGGACUUUUUUCUCCUGCCAUGGGGGGGGGGCGCUCUUUUGGGGAGUAAAAAUUCCUUCACAAAUGUGUUGAUGGCUGGACAUUGCAUCAUCCUAGAAAACUUGGAGGCCAGUGAGGGCAAAAAUAAAAAGUUAUAAGACUUUUAAAUAUGUGGAUUUUAGGGUUAUCUUUGGCGCCCCCUAGAACCUAAACCGUGGGGUGCAGCGUCAUGAUUUGAAUAACUUUUAAUGGCCAUGGGGUGUAGAUUAGCCUGAGCAAAUGUGGUGCCGGUGGAACGAAAGCCUUCGGAGGAGUUAGCGAAAUUCCAAUGUGUGCGGAUCGGCAAAAAAUGCGAAAUAACCCUUUAACCGUACAUUUGACAGAUACGCGCGCAUUGACUUUUUCGUAGAUCUUAUUGAAAUACACGUGUAUGUCAAAUUUUGUGUCAUUUUGACAAAGCGUACAGGCAUGACACUCUACAAUGUGUAUUUUCACCUUAGGGGACAAGAAAAAAUGGACUUCUUUCUCCUGCCAUGAGGGGGCGCUCUUUUGGGGAGUAAAAAUUCCUUCACAAAUGUGUUGAUGGCUGGACAUUGCAUCAUCCUAGAAAACUUGGAGGCCAGUGAGGGCAAAAAUAAAAAGUUAUAAGACUUUUAAAUAUGUGGAUUUUAGGGUUAUUUUUGGCGCCCCCUAGAACCUAAACCGUGGGGUGCAGCGUCAUGAUUUGAAUAACUUUUAAUGGCCAUGGGGUGUAGAUUAGCCUGAGCAAAUGUGGUGCCGGUGGAACGAAAGCCUUCGGAGGAGUUAGCGAAAUUCCAAUGUGUGCGGAUCGGCAAAAAAUGCAAAAUAACCCUUUAACCGUACAUUUGACAGAUACGCGCGCAUUGACUUUUUCGUAGAUCUUAUUGAAAUACACAUGUAUGUCAAAUUUUGUGUCAUUUUGACAAAGCGUACAGGCGUGACACUCUACAAUGUGUAUUUUCACCUUAGGGGACAAGAAAAAAUGGACUUUUUUCUCCUGCCAUGGGGGGGCGCUCUUUUGGGGAGUAAAAAUUCCUUCACAAAUGUGUUGAUGGCUGGACAUUGCAUCAUCCUAGAAAACUUGGAGGCCAGUGAGGGCAAAAAUAAAAAGUUAUAAGACUUUUAAAUAUGUGGAUUUUAGGGUUAUCUUUGGCGCCCCCUAGAACCUAAACCGUGGGGUGCAGCGUCAUGAUUUGAAUAACUUUUAAUGGCCAUGGGGUGUAGAUUGGCCUGAGCAAAUGUGGUGCCGGUGGAACGAAAGCCUUCGGAGGAGUUAGCGAAAUUCCAAUGUGUGCGGAUCGGCAGAAAAUGCGAAAUAACCCUUCAAGCGUACAUUUGACAGAUACGCCCGCACUGACUUUUUUGUAGAUCUUAUUGAGAUACAUAUGUGUGUCAAUUUUUGUGUCAAUAUGACAAAGCGUACAGGCGUGACAGUCAAUAGUGUGAAUUUCCACCUUAGGGGGCACUAUGGAGCCAUUUUGCAUUUUAUUGUUUGGGCGACUUCAGAAUAUCGAAUUUUUCACCAGGCCCGGUCGUCCUGCCAAAUUUCAUGAGUUUUCGCCAGUGGGAAGUGGGCCAUUUUCCAGUUCAAAGGGGAGGAAAAAGAAGAAACUAGGGCCCCGUUGGGGCACUGGCGGGCCCGAGCCGUGUCACGCCGCCCCCAGCGCGACCGCCUCCCCCACCCGAUCGCGUCACACUCAAGGUCCAAAGAUGGUGUGCGCACUUGUUUGUGGUCAAUUACCAUUAUAAUGAACGGGAGGCGCAGUUUCUACCAAAGCGCUCGCUGCAGAAAAACUCUAUGUCCUAUUUGAAAAAAGUCUGGACCAUGAGUGAGGGCACAAACACAGCUAAGAUAUAUCCAAAUGGCAAGUUGCUCCUCCUUUCGCUUUUGCCGAGAGAGCAGUGCGUUUGAGCCAUUGAAUGAUGAACAGGAAAAACUUGACUUUAUUCUCCUGCCAUGGGGGGCGCUCUUUUAACGAGAAAAAACUCCUUCACAAAUGUGUUGAUGGCUGGACAUUGCAUCAUCCUAGAAAACAUGGAGGCCAGUGAGGACAAAAAUAAAAAGUUAUAAGACUUUUAAAUAUGUGGAUUUUAGGGUUAUCUUUGGCGCCCCCUAGAACCUAAACCGUGGGGUGCAGCGUCAUGAUUUGAAUAACUUUUAAUGGCCAAGGGGUGUAGAUUGGCCUGAGCAAAUGUGGUGCCGGUGGAACGAAAACCUUCGGAGGAGUUAGCGAAAUUCCAAUGUGUGCGAAUCUGCAAAAAAUGCGAAAUAACCCUUUAACAGUACAUUUUACAGAUACGUGGCCAUUGACUUU